AACGAACGCUGGCGGCAUGCCUAACACAUGCAAGUCGAACGGGAUCCAGGCUUCGGCCUGGUGAGAGUGGCGGACGGGUGAAUAACACGUGGGAACCUGCCUUUUGGUUCGGGAUAACCGCGGGAAACUGCGGCUAAUACCGGAUGCUCCCGAGAGGGGAAAGAUUUAUCGCCAGAAGAGGGGCCCGCGUCCGAUUAGGUAGUUGGUGAGGUAAUGGCUCACCAAGCCGACGAUCGGUAGCUGGUCUGAGAGGAUGAUCAGCCACACUGGGACUGAGAUACGGCCCAGACUCCUACGGGAGGCAGCAGUGGGAAUAUUGGACAAUGGGGGCAACCCUGAUCCAGCAAUGCCGCGUGAGUGAUGAAGGCCUUAGGGUUGUAAAGCUCUUUUGCCAGGGAAGAUGAUGACUGUACCUGGAGAAUAAGCCCCGGCUAACUUCGUGCCAGCAGCCGCGGUAAU
This 459-nucleotide ribosomal RNA is filed under the name uncultured bacterium. Its description in RNAcentral is "bacterial SSU rRNA". It matches the Rfam family "Bacterial small subunit ribosomal RNA", at positions 29 to 524 of the family's 1533-position model. The record is from RNAcentral.